GACGAACGCUGGCGGCGUGGAUUAGGCAUGCAAGUCGAACGGUAGGAUCCUUUCGGGGAUCUGAGAGUGGCGAACGGGUGAGUAACACGUAGGUUAUCUACCCUCAAGACGGGGACAACCCAGGGAAACUUGGGCUAAUACCGGAUGUGAGCAACUUUUAGUUGUUUGAAAGGUGGCGUAAGCUGUCGCUUGGGGAUGAGCCUGCGUCCUAUUAGUUAGUUGGUGAGGUAACGGCUCACCUAGGCAAUGAUAGGUAGGCGGCCUUAACGGGUGGUCGCCCACACUGGGAUUGAGAUACGGCCCAGACUCCUACGGGAGGCAGCAGUCGAGAAUAGUCUACAAUGGUCGGAAGACUGAUAGUGCGACGCCGCGUGAACGAUGAAUCCCUUCGGGGUGUAAAGUUCUUUUAUAUGUGAGCAGUGCUUCUUAUAUUAACAGUAUGGGGAGAGAGAUAUUAGCAUAUGAAUAAGCAACGGCUAACUCCGUGCCAGCAGCCGCGGUAAU
Molecule: ribosomal RNA, 504 nt
Filed under: uncultured bacterium
Lineage: Bacteria
Description: bacterial SSU rRNA
Rfam family: Bacterial small subunit ribosomal RNA
Source: RNAcentral